Molecule: long non-coding RNA, 571 nt
Filed under: Pan troglodytes (chimpanzee)
Lineage: Eukaryota; Metazoa; Chordata; Mammalia; Primates; Hominidae
Description: long non-coding RNA NONPTRT004071
Source: RNAcentral
UUAGGCCCCAAAACUUGCUCCAGAUGCCACAAAGCGUAUUACUGCGCAAGGAGCAUCAGACCCUAGACUGGAGAUUGGGACAUAAGCAGGCUUGUGCACAACCAGAUCAUUUGGACCUUACAACUCCAGACCACAACUUCGUUUUUCCAGAAUUUGAAAUUGUAAUAGAAACAGAAGAUGAGAUUAUGCCUGAGGUUGCGGAAAAGGAAGAUUAUUCAGAUAUUAUAGGGAGCAUGGUUACGCAGUUUCAGGACUUCAUUCAUUAAGUGGUUAAACUUAAUGCUUGGAAGAAAGGUCUCAAUGUGUCUAGAAGAGAGGUACUGAGAGGAAGACUCACUUUGGAGGCUGGAGCCUACAAUUUUCAAGGAUUGCCUCAGGUGAAAAUAUACUUCCUGGACUUUGUUUCCUGACAUAUAUCAGGUGUGUUCUGCUCCCUAUAAAGACAAGAGGAGGCGGGUAUCCAGAUGGUCCCACGAGUAGGGCUACACAAGAUGCUGGAGGCUUGUAUCUAAGAAGCAUGUUACUGCACCAAGGACCCCGCCUCUCCUCUUCCUCUUUCUGGAGGGUUCUG